RNAcentral lists this long non-coding RNA (9415 nucleotides) under Nicotiana tabacum (common tobacco). Its description in RNAcentral is "long non-coding RNA (NTAB_LNC018480)". Lineage: Eukaryota; Viridiplantae; Streptophyta; Magnoliopsida; Solanales; Solanaceae. The record is from RNAcentral.
UUUAAAAGUGCCGCUCGGCAUACACAAUAUUUAACUCUCAGAAACCAAUACAUAUCUCCAAGACCCGAAAACCCAUGAAUCACAAGAUAAGGAUCACUACAUAGUGCUCUAACUCCAUAAUAGUCUAAAACCAAUGAAAUACAGAAGGGCGAUAACUAUGAGAGAGAGUGGAGAGAGACUCCUUGGUCUGCGGAUGUAGUAGGUAUACCUCGAAGUCUCCAAAUGAUCGCCUCACCUCAAGGAUGGUAAGCCUGAGUCAAGGUACCUGGAUGUUCACAUGAAAAACAUACGCAGAAAGGGCAUGAGUACACCACAGCAGUACUCAGUAAGUGCCAAGCCUAACCUCAGUCGGGUAGUGACGAGGAAGGUCAGGGCCCUACUGAGGUUAAAUAAAAUACAAAGUAUAACAAUGUAGAACAAGAUAGUAUAAUUAAGUGCAACAGUAAGAAAUAACAUAGAAUAAAAAUAGCAACAACAACUAGAACAGAGGCAAAAUAAUCACAGAAAGGAAAUACAACUCAACACAGAGAUAACAACCGGGGUACCUUCAAAGAUACCAUCCUGUAGUCCCAAUUAUAGCUAUCCAGUGGAUCUCCCGGGAUCCCGGCCCGUAGUCCAACAAUCAGUGCGCGAGGAUCUACUGGAAUCCUGAUCCGUAGUCCCAAAUAUAAAUACCAGUACUGGGGGAAUCUACCGGGUGAAGUCCCGUAGUUCCAUAUAACUAUGCAGGGGGAUCUACUAGAAUCCCACAUCCGUAGUCCCAAAUAAACAGACAAGGGGAAUCUACCGGAGUCCCACAUCUGUAAUCCCAAUGUAAAUACACAGCAGCAACAGGAAAUUAUUCAGAAAUGGCGAAUUUCAUAUUAAGGCAACAAGUAAUUCUAGCCUAGCAUGCUGCAUAGAAUAAAUGUAAGGCAGUUUUAGAAAAUAAAGCAAUUAAAUCACUUAGACAUGCUUUCCUAAGCUACGACAGGCUUAAUAAUGCGAGUAAUAAAAACAAGAAAAGAAACAUACUAGUAAUUACUUAAUGAAAACCGGAUUUUCAAUAAUUAGCACAAGUACGCACUCGUAUCCUCACGUACAAGGAAUUUCAAUUACCAAUUAUACCAAAUCCUAAGGUGAAAGGUCCCCCACACAAGGUUAGGUAAACCACUUACCUCGAACCGGCUCAAUAAUCAAUCUGAAACCAUGCUCUUGCCACGAGUACUCGACUCCAAAUUACCCAAAUUUAUUCAAUUUGAUUGCAAUAAAUAACACUUUAAGUAACUGAUUCUACAAAGAAAUUCUAAGCUAAUACGCAAAAUUAGGUAAAAUGACCAAAAAGCCCAUCGGGCCCAUAUCUCGAAAUUGGGUAAAAUUUACAUUUUCAGAAACCUCGUACUCUCACGAGUCUAUACAUAACAAGAACACUGAAAUCGAAGUUUAAUUGGCCCCUCAAAUACCCAUGUUAAGGUGUCUUAAUCUCAAGCCCUAAUUACCCAUUUUCCCCAAAUUUCUCACCACAUGUUAAGCUGUCUUAAUCUCAAGCCCUAAUUACCCAUUUUCCCCAACUUUCUCACCACCAAUUAGGUCCUUUAUCACAUAUAAACGAGUUAUGAAGUUAAAAAUGUUACUUCCAAGUGAUUCCCCUUGAAUCCCUCUUCAAUCCUCUUCAAAGAGCUCCAAAAUCGCUCAAAAUUGGUGGAAGAUAACCUCAAAAUGGUGGACCAAAUGACUAUUUAAACAUUCAUCCCAGGCAUCAAAUCCUUCUUCGCGAACACGGUCAACGCCUCGCGUUCGCAAAGCACAAAUUUACUUUGACUAAAAUUCCUUCAUCGCGAUCGCGACACAGCUCGCGAACGUGAAGGCUUAGCUCUGUACUCAACGCGAAUGUGACGUCCCCCCGCAAACGGGAAGGACAAAUCAACCUCAACCCAACCGCCCAACUUUCCUCUAUGCGAACGCAGUAUCACCUCGCGAAGGCGAUGCACAAGACCCCAGCCCCUUCGUGAACGGGGAGACUCCCUCGUGAACGCGAAGGCUAAAUCCUUAGCCUCACCUGCUAACCCUUCGCGAACGCGAGGGCCUACUCGUGAACAAGAGGGCCUACUCAGGAACGCGAAUGUCAUUUUUCUGCAACACCUAACAGUAGUUUUCUGCAGUUUUUCACAACUUGAAAUGGUCCGAUUGACCACCCGAAACAGACCCUAGGCCUCCGGGACCUCAACCAAACCUGCCAACUAAUCCUAAAACAUCGUUCAAACUAUUUCCAACCUUUGGAAUGCUCAAAACAACAUCGAAACACCUAUUUUUCAUCGGAUCCAAGCCUAAGAAUUCCAAAAACCCCUAAAAAUAUGCUUUCGAUCAAAAAGUCUAUCAAACCUCGUCUGAAUGACCUGAAAUUUUGCACACACGCCACAUUAAACACUAUGGAGCUACUCCAACUUCCAAAAUGCCAUUCCCACCCUCAGAUCAAAAUCUCACUAUCGAACCGAAAACUUCAAAAAUUCAACUUUCGGCAUUUCAAGCUUAAAUUAGAUACGGCCCUCCAAAACACAAUUCGAACACACCCCUAAGCCCAAAAUCACCUAACGAAGCUAACAGAACUAUCAGAUUUCCAUUCCGAGGCCAUCUUCACACUGUUAUGACAACAGUCAACUUUUCAACACUUAAGCUCUCAUUUAGGGACAAAGUAUCCCAAAACUCUCCAAAACUCAACCGAACAUCCCGGCAAAUCAAAAUAGCAGAAAUAAACUCGGGAAAAGUAGUUAAUAGAGGAUCGGGGCAUAAAUUCUUAAAUGACCGACCGGGUCGUCAUAUCCUCCUACACUUAAACAUUCGUUCGUCCUCGAACGAGCAUAAAGACAUACCUGAAGUAGUGAAAAGAUGAGGGUAACAGCUGCGCAUAUCCUGCUCAGUCUCCCAGGUCACCUCCUCGACCGGCUGACCCCGCCACUAAACCUUUACUGAUAAAAGGUUCUUUGACAUCGGCUUUCUAACCUUCCUGUCCAAUAUUGCCACUGGUUCCUCAAAAUAGGAUAGAUCCUUGUCCAACUAGACUGAACUAAAAUCCAACACGUGCGACGGAUCACUGUGAUACCUCCGGAGCAUCNNNNNNNNNNNNNNNNNNNNNNNNNACUCAACUCCUUUUUUUCCCAAAUCUCAUAACGCCCUUUAUAGGCGAAACCCGAAGCAGAACCCGCUCUCCAACCAUAUAGGAAAUAUCACGAACCUUCCGGUCCACGUAACUCUUCUGUCUGGACUGGGCUAUACGGAGUCUAUCCUGAAUCACUUUAACCUUCUCCAAGGCAUCCUGAACCAGGUCUGUGCCCAACAAUCUAGCCUCACCCGGCUUAAACCAACCCACCGGGGAUCUAUACCGCCUACCGUAUAAAGCCUCGUACGGUGCCAUUUGAAUGCUGGACUGAUAGCUGUUGUUGUAGGAAAACUCUGCCAAUGGCAAGAACUGAUACCAAGACCCUCCAAACUCAAUCACAUUCGUAUGGAGCAUAUCCUCAAGAAUCUAAAUAGUGCGCUCGGACUACCCGUCCCUCUAAGGGUGAAAUAUUGUACUCAACUCCACCUGAGUACCCAACUCAUGCUGAACGGCUCUCCAGAAUCGUGAUGUGAACUAAGUACCUCUAUCUAAAAUGAUGGAAAUUGGAAUACCAUGCAGACAAACAAUAUCCCAGAUAUAGAUCUUUGCCAAACGCUCCGAAGAAUAAGUAGUACACACAGGAAUAAAGUGAGCGGACUUGGUCAGUUGAUCCACAAUCACCCAAAUAGCAUCGAACUUUCCAAAGUCCGUGGGAGCCCAACUACAAAGUCCAUGGUGAUCCACUCCCACUUCCACUCCGGAAUCUCUAUCUGUUGAAGCAACCCACCUGGUCUCUGGUGCUCAUACUUCACCUGCUGACAAUUGAGGCACCGAGCUACAAAUCUAACUAUAUCUUUCUUCAUCCGUCUCCACCAGUAGUGCUGCCUCAAAUCCUGAUACAUCUUCGCGCCACCCGGAUGAAUAGAAUACCGCGAGCUAUGGGCCUCAUAUAGAAUCAACUCUCGAAGCCUAUCAAUAUUUGGUACACAAAUCCGACCUUCCAUCCUCAAUACCUCAUCAUCACCAAUAGUCACAUCUCUGGCAUCACCGUGCUGAACCUUGUCCUUGAGGGCAAGCAAAUGAGGGUCAUCAUACUGCCGCUCCCUGAUACGAUCAAAUAAGGAAGAUCGAGAAACCACGCAAGCUAGAACUCGACUAGGCUCCGAAAGAUCCAAUCUCACUAACUGGCUGGCUAAGGCCUGAACAUCCAUCGCCAUAGGCCUCUCCGAUGCUGGUAAAUAAUCCAAACUCACCAAACUCUCUGCUCGGUGACUCAAAGCAUCGGCCACCACAUUGGCUUUUCCGAAGUGAUACAAAAUAGUGAUGUCAUAGUCCUUCAGCAACUCUAACCACCUCCUCUGGUACAAAUUUAGAUCCUUUUGCUUGAACAAGUGCUGCAAGCUCUGAUGGUCAGUAUAAGUCUCACAAGGCACACUAUAUAAAUAAUGGUGCCAGAUCUUCAGGGCGUGAAUAUUGGCAGCUAACUCAAGGUCGUGAACAGGGUAUUUCUUCUCAUGUAUCUUCAACUAUCUAGACACGUAGGCAAUCACCCUACCGUCCUGCAUCAACACCGCUCCGAGGUCAAUCCUCGAGGCAUCACAAUAGACUAUAUAAGACCCCGAACCUGUAGGUAGUAUCAAAAUUGGGGUUGUGGUCAAAGCUGUCUUGAGCUUCUGAAAGUUCGCCUCACACUCCUCCAUCCACUGGAACGGAGCAACCUUCUAGGUCAACCUGGUCAUAGGGGCUACAAUCGAUGAAAACCGCUCCACAAAAUGUGUUAGUAACCCGCCAAGCCAAGGAAAUUGCAGAUCUCUGUAGCUAAGGAUGGUCUGGGCCAACUCUAUACGACCUCUAUCUUCUUCGAAUCAACAUGAAUACCCUCACUCGAUACCACGUGUCCUAAGAAUGCCACUGAAUCUAACCAAAACUCAGUGCGCAGGGAUCUAACAGAAUCCUGAUCCGUAGUUACAAAUAUAAAUACCCAGUACUGGGGGAAUCUACCGGGAGCAGUCCUGUAGUUCCAUAUAACUGUGCAGGGGGAUCUACCGGAAUCCCUCAUCUGUAGCCCCAAAUGAACAGACAAGGGGGAUCUACCGGAAUCCCACAUCCUUAGUUCCAAAUAAACAAACAAAGAGAAUCUACCAGAGUCCCAUAUCUGCAGUCCCAAUGUAAAUACACAACAACAACAGGAAAAUAUUCAGAAAUGGCAAAUUUCAUAUUAAGGCAACAAGUAAUUCUAGCCUAGCAUGCUGCACAGAAUUCAGGUAAGGCAGUUUGAGCAAAUAGAGCAAUUAAAUCACUUAGACAUGCUUUCCUAAGCUAAGACAGGCUUAAUAGUGCGAGUAAUAAAAACAAAAAAAGAAACAUACUAGUAAUUACUUAAUGAAAACCAGAUUUCAAAUUUCAUAUUAAGGCAACAAGUAAUUCUAGCCUAGCAUGCUGCGCAGAAUUCAGAUAAGGCAGUUUGAUCAAAUAAAGCAAAUAAAUCACUUAGACAUGAUUUCCUAAGCUACGACAGGCUUAAUAGUGUGAGUAAUAAAAACAGGAAAAGAAACAUACUAGUAAUUACUUAAUGAAAACCAGAUUUCCAACAAUUAGCACAAGUACGCACUAGUCACCUCACGUAUAAGGCAUUUCAAUUAUCAAAUAUACCAAAUCCUAAGGGGAAAGGUCUCUCACACAAGGUUAUGCAAGCCACUUACCUCGAACCGGCUCAAUAAUCAAUCCGAAACUAUGCUCUUACCACGAGUACUCAACUCCAAAUUACCCAAAUCUAUUCAAUUCAAUUGCAUAAUAUAAAUAACAUUUCAAGUAACUGAUUCUACAAAGAAAUUCUAAGCUAAUACGCAAAAUUAGGUAAAAUGACCAAAAAUCCCAUAGGGGCCCACGUCUCGAAAACGGGUAAAAUUUAUAUUUUCAGAAAAUUCGUACUCUCACGAGUCUAUACAUAAUAAGAACACUGAAAUCGGAGUUCAAUUGGCCCCUCAAAUACCUAUGUUAAGGUCUUUUAAUCUCAAGCCCUAAUUACCCAUUUUCCCCAAAUUUCUCACCACCAAUUAAGUCCUUAAUCACAUAUAAACGAGUUAUGAAGUCAAAAAUGUUAACUCUAGGUGAUUCCCCUUGAAUACCUCUUUAAUCCUCUUCAAAGAGCUCCAAAAUCGCUCAAAAAUGGUGGAAGAUAAACCCCAAAAUCGUGGACCAAAUGACUAUUUAAACAUUUUGCCCAGUCAUCAAAUCUUUCUUCGCGAACGCGAGGAUCUUUCUUCGCGAACGCGGUCAACGCCUCGCGUUCGCGAAGCACAAAUUUACUUUGGCUAAAAUUCCUUCAUCGCGAUCGCGACACACAACUCACGAACGCGAAGUCUUAGCUCUUAUAUUCAAUGCGAACACGACGUUUCUACCAUGUGUUUGAACGGUUGCAUGUUUCAUCCGGCAUUAACAAACCCUUUUUCGCUCUGCCUUUCACUCUUUAUUUUCUCAUUUUAUUUUUGUCGCUCUUUUAUUUUUGGGUCUCUUUUUUCUCUUUUUGUUUUUUCACUCCUUUAUUUUUUUUUGUCGUCCUUUUUUUCCCCUUUUUGUCACUCUUUUCUUUCUUUUCACUCAAUUUGUUUUUCAAUUUUUUUUUCUCUUAAUUAAUUUUAUGGCUAUGAUUGAAUCCGAUGGGGAUUGCCUACGUACAUGACACCGCAUGAAUCAGAUCAUUACGUAGUUUAGGAAGAUCAGGAAUAGAGGAAAUAAAUUAACUCUUUUUUCUGAUUUCUUUGACAUUUUUUAUAUGAAAAUCAUAUCACAAAGGCUUCUAACAAGGAAAAAUAUUUAGGAUUUUGAAUUUUGAAUUUUUUUUUCUUUUUUUUAUUGUUAUCUGAAAGAAAGAUCUCUACAAAUUCUUUUUCUUUUGUUUUGAAUCAUUGGGAAUUUCAAAAGAAAAAAAAUACUUUUGUUUGAAUUUCCAUUCGUUUUCUCUUCCUUUUUUAUAAAGAAGAAAGAAGAUAUUUUUGAAUUUUGAAUGAUGAUUCUGAAUUCUUGAAAGAGGGACUUUUAAGAAUUUUUUCUAAUUUAAUUUAAGAAAGUACUUCUAAAGAAAAGUGAAAAUAAUUUUUCUACUUUAAAUUUUUAAUUUUAUGACAUUUAUGAAAGAAGGACUUCUAAAGAAGAAAGAGAAUACUUUUUGGAUUUUUGUUUCUGAUUGUUUUUUUAAAAUAAAAAUACUUAUGAAGAAGGGAAAAACAAAUUUUUGGAUUUUGUUUGAUGAUUUUCUUUUGAAUGAAAGACUUCAAAAAGAAGGAAAAUAUUUUUGGGUUUUAAAAUUGUUUUUAGGUUUUCUAAGGAAAGGAAUUUUUUUUGACAAUUGAGGGUCGAAAUUGAUGAGGUUUGCCUACGUAUCUCACAUCCGGUGAGAAUCAGACUCGCGUAGUUUGGUCAGAAGUAAGAUAGAAGAAAUAUGACCUUUUAAAAAUAUUGGCGUAUUGUCUUUCUCUUUUUUUUUUCUAAAUCUUUGGCAGAGUUUCGAAUUUUUCAAAUACCUAUCUCUCAGUCUUGAUUUCUUUUUUCUUUUUCUUUUCUUUUUCUUUUAAAUUUCUUUCCAUAUUCUAGAAGCUGGUCAACAUACAAUCCAGAUCAAACAAAUGUACAAGUAACACGUAAAAUUCAUUAGGAUGGUCUUUUUAGUUUGGGAUGCACCCGUCCUAGCGGACCUAACCCCUGUGUUGAGUCCUUAAGGUCAAAUGCACGUGAUGCAAAUAAGCGUACCUACUAGGGAUCCGACAUGAGGCUAUGUCAUUAUAUGUUUUAAAACCUGAGUGUAUUGUUCUAGACCUGGCUUAUCCGAGCGGACGACUCGAGCCGAGGGGGGGCAGCGUACCGGGAAUACAGAAGCUUCACCGACUUUGCAACUUGUUGAAAUCUCGUUCUAAAAUUAGGAUAUGACUCUAACAGAAAAGAAGUCACGCGAAGCACGCUUCCUAGAAGAUUUAGAAGACCAAGAGAGAAGAAAUGUUUCGUAACAGUUUUAUAUACAGUUCAAACAAUAUCAAAGAGGUAAAAGCGGCAUUUAGCACGUUAGGCUCAAACACGUAAAAAUUAGAUAAUAAAUAAAAGCCAAGUAUAAUAGUUAUUCUAAGCUCGAAUUCUAAACUCUGAACUAGAGAUUCUGGGUUCGUUUCCCAGUAAAGUCGCCAUAGCUGUCAGAGCUGGCUUUUCAAGAGGGGAUAGAGAGUUUUUUCAAUUAAUGGGACAUUAUUUAAAAUGGGAUUAUUUAUUUGAUUCAAAGACGCCACUUGGAAUAAUUUAUGGUGUCCAAAAUCACCGGUUUAUUUUAAAUCCACAAUCGAGGAAAUCUGACUCUAUUUUAAAGUCAGCAAAACCAGAAGGCCGGGAAAGAAAUUCUGUUAACCCAGGAGAAGGUGUGAGGCACUCCCGAGUUCCGUGAUUUUAGCACGCACUCAAUUAUUAAUAAUUGGACUAAUUAUCUAAUUAAUUAUAUAUUUAUAACCCAUUGUGCAUUUUUAACUUCUAACCACUUCCAAUUAAUUUAAUCCCAUUUUAGUAUUUAUGGAAUUAUUUUUGGAAUAAGUCAUGAUACCGUACACUUAUCGUUUUGGUACACGUUGCAAAUCAUGCCACAUGAAAUGCACCCGCAAUUUACGACAUGUUUAUUUUUAUUAUUAUUUGAAGUUAUGGUCGAGUCACGUGAAAUGUGCACUCGAAUUGGGGAUUACGUAUCAUGACUAUACCACGGGAACCAUACUUAUAGUCACGAUAAUUAUUAUUAAUCGAGCCUAAAGCAAGCUACACAUUUGAAUGAUUCAAUUUAUUUCAAUCAUUAUGACUGCAUAUAGCUUGAAAUUUUAUGGAAAACAACAUUCAAUCAGAAAAAGGCAAAAGCAUUACAUGAUAUAUGAGAAAGACUGACCUCUUGUUUGAAGGAAUAUAUUACUUCUUCAGAAUAUUCUUCAUUUGCAAAUAUUUUAACAGCAACAUCAACAUAGAAAAAUGAACAGUAAUGAAACUCCUCAGCAAACCCAAAGAAUCGACGCCAAACCCGGAAGAACUCGAAACCAGUGUUCUGCUUCUUCUUUUUUCGAACUUUUGUUCUAAACUCUUAUUUUUUUCGAAUUUUUUCAGCUCUGCUUUUUUAAUCACAGAGUAUUUCGUGAAAGCUAGUGUGUUUGUGUGUGUGAGUCGUGAGUGAGAGGUGAGUGAAGCGAGUGUGGAGGUGAAAGUGAGGAUAGUCAUUCAAUGGAGGAAGGUUGUCCGUCUCUCUUGUUGAGCGAGAGAUCAGGAAAAAGAAAUAGGAGAAACAUCACUAGGGUGUUCAGGAGGGGGAAAGUCCAAUUUUCU